Molecule: transfer RNA, 76 nt
Filed under: Acinetobacter lwoffii SH145
Lineage: Bacteria; Pseudomonadati; Pseudomonadota; Gammaproteobacteria; Moraxellales; Moraxellaceae
Description: tRNA-Asn
Rfam family: tRNA
About the family: Transfer RNA (tRNA) molecules are approximately 80 nucleotides in length. Their secondary structure includes four short double-helical elements and three loops (D, anti-codon, and T loops).
Source: RNAcentral
UCUUCCAUAGCUCAGUCGGUAGAGCGACGGACUGUUAAUCCGCAGGUCCCUGGUUCGAGCCCAGAUGGAAGAGCCA